This 202-nucleotide ribosomal RNA is filed under the name uncultured bacterium. RNAcentral's name for it is "partial 16S ribosomal RNA". It matches the Rfam family "Bacterial small subunit ribosomal RNA", at positions 1299 to 1500 of the family's 1533-position model. The record is from RNAcentral.
UGCAGUCUGCAACUCGAGUGCAUGAAGCUGGAAUCGCUAGUAAUCGCGGAUCAGAAUGCCGCGGUGAAUACGUUCCCGGGUCCUGUACACACCGCCCGUCACACCAUGGGAGUCGGGAAUGCCCGAAGCCGGUGGCCCGAUCGAGAGAAGGGAGCCGUCGAAGGCAGGCCGGAUGACUGGGGUGAAGUCGUAACAAGGUAAC